This is a non-coding RNA of Pelodiscus sinensis (Chinese soft-shelled turtle), 591 nucleotides long. The record is from RefSeq and is a predicted model, not a curated record. NCBI's taxonomy places the organism in Eukaryota, Metazoa, Chordata, Testudines, Trionychidae.
GCAGUUUCUCUCCAGCUACUGAGGGGGACAGACACUAUGUCUCCCUCCAAGAAAAGAUUCAUCACUAUCUGUGAGUAAGAAGGAUGGAGUGGCCCCCUUGGCCGCGAUGGACACUGCAGCUCACAAAGAUGCCAUCUCAGAGGCACUGACAUGCCACCCUGGGAGCCACGCUGACCCACACUGCUGGAGAACACAGGAGUCCAGGACAGUGGGAAAACCAGGACGAGGACUGAACAAGCAAAGGGGCCUGAGGCCUCGUCUACUGACAGACUUUGGUCAAUGCAAGUUACGCCAGCCUACAGCUGCCGAAAUUCACCACUUGUAUGCGUGCACACUUGGUUGCAUGCAUCAGUGCGAUACAUCCUCACAGGGGUUGUUGUGCUGCACUAUGGGGAGGUAUCCCAGUGUGCCAUGUAAAAUCCCAUUUAAAAUGUUAACUGGUUAAAGUGUGUGUGAGAGAGUGUGUGAGUGAGUGAGUGAGAGAAUAAAUAAAAAACUGGUUAACCAUGUCACGGGCUGGGAACUGCUCCAGCCAGGCUGGGCUUGCCCGCCACACCGUAUUGCAGGGCUACUCCAGCUGGGCAGGACUCG